UCAUAUAAAUAUAAUAAUAAAUAAACCUUUAAAAAAAGAAGUGAUUCAUCAUGGCUAGGAAGGCUCAGAGGAACUGUACAUUGUCCAUACACUGGUCACAUUGUGUCCAAAGUCCUGAAGCAGAAACAGAGCAAACACUUGGAACAGGGAUAUAAGAACCUUAAGGUUUUACCCUGCCAAUUGACUCCCUCCUAAAAGUGCCCCAGCCUCUCCAAGCAGGUCCUCCAUCUGGGGACCAAGUAUUGAAACCCAUGGGCCCAAAGCAGACAUUUCCCAGAUGCCCCACGACAAUGCUCAUUCUGUAUUUUCAUUACACUCUCCCACCAGUCAAUCCAGAUUUUGCUGUAGGUAGGCAGUUUGGUUAAAGCAACAUUUACCUACAGGUGAGAUGGGUACAGAGUCCAUGUCAGCUUUUGGUCACUGGGACAGAGUACUGGAGAGAUACAAUCUGAGGGGGAUUUGGGGCUUCUGGGUUCAGAGGACUCAGCUGGCUGCCCUCAUCACAGCUUAGGCCUGGGGUGAGGCAGAGCAUCAUCACAGUUGGAUGAGGAGGGAGCUUGCUUUGUGGUGGCCAAAAGGGAGAUAAAUAGAUAAGAGAAACAGGGACACGCAGAAAAUGAGGACAAAUUAUGCUCUUAAGGCCACACCCUCAAGGAUAUACCUCUUUCAACUCCUCCAGUCCUGUCACCGCCCAGCAGACUGCCCCAAAUUAUGAACCCGUCAGUGGGUGAGUCUAUUGAUGAUGUCAGAGUCCUCGGGGUCCUGUCAGUUCCCCACGCACUUCUAAACACUGCCACACUGGGGACUACACCUUCAAUGUGCAAGCCUUUAACACGUGACGGACACUUCAGAUCUAAACGGCAGCAGGACAUCUUGGAGAUGAUUCUUUGCGACCUAGGUUAUGAUGAGAUGCCUGUGUAAUCAUCUUUUUGACGAUUUAUGACGAGACACCCAAGGCCCAGAAAUACAGGCUUCCCUUUUUGUUCUAGCUUCAGUUCUUGCUCUCUCUGGGUGGCCAGUCAGCAUCUUGCUCCUCUCAGUCUACUAGGCUGCCAGCUCAUCCCCUGAGCCCUGGCCAGUUUGAGGGUUUCUUUGUCGUGCCAUCCUAUGAUUCCAUUCCCCCCUAAUUUGGGGGCACAGUAGUGCUGGGAAUCAAACAAGGGUCUUGGGUAUCACUAAUUCAGUUUCUAAUCUGACCUGAGGUGCUUUUCAGGAAGUUCCUCCUCCUCUUCCCCCUGUUCAUGCUCCUCCCACGCCCCAAUCUGUGUACAGCUAGGCACAGAGGGCUGGCUCUACUGCAGUUUAAAUACCAAGGCUCCACCCGACUCUGGGCGGAUGUGCUCAACCUCACUGUAGCUUUCUCUCCAUCACCAGAUCCUCUGGCUUAGCCAGUGUUGAGGAGAAGCAAGGCAAGCCACUCUGGGUCGUGGCCCUUGCUACAUCUCAGUCCAGGCGAGGCAUCCAGCUCGAGAAGCUAGUUGCUAGGAAGUCACGCUGGACCAGUCUCUUUCAGAUCUGCUCUGCAGCCCAGUUAGCAGAAGGACAAGUGACACUUGACUUCGCAGGUGGCGGAAGGAGAAGGUCCUGGAGGCAGCUGCGGGGAAACGCUGGUCAGAUCGGGCAGUGUGGUGCUGCAUUCCUUCCUUAGCAGAUACUUUAUGGAAGCAAGGCUCAUCUCUCCGGACUGCCUUGCGGGAUCGUCCUCUGGGGAGACACAGCUCUGGCCUUGGAAUCUGUCAGAGCUGGCUCUGAGUGUUGGCACUGCUGGUGUCUGGCUAUGGAGGCUGACAGAGUCACUUUGCCUGCUGACCCUCAGUUUUCUGUAUCGUCCAAUGGGGAGAAGAACAGCAGCCUGGUGGGAGGAGUCACUGCCUGCUCGGUUUUCUGUAUUAUCCAAUGGGGAGAAGAACAGUAGCCUGGUGGGUGGAGUCAAGGCAGAGAGUGCUGUGGAGAAGUCACAGAACACCUCGUGCUGAGGCACUUACCCUAGAGGGAUGAUGAAAGAUGCUAAGGAAACAUGCGGGUGAUGUGCAGAGUCGCGUCUAGAGCUACACGGAGCAAAGCAUGCAAGAAAGUCUGCACUACGCAAACGACACACAGAGCCCGCACUAUGAAAAUGAACUCCAAAGCCCUAGCAGGACCACAAGCAUCCCUCCUCCCUUAUUUUUGCUUCCUGAUCCACAAGGAUGCGAGCAAGUUGCUGUUGCAAGCCCCUGCCUGCUGCCUGCCCUUCCUCUCCACCAAGCGGGGGCUGUAUCUCCUGUAUCACUCUGUACCCCCGUUUUGAGGACAUGGACACUUUCAGAAUCCUGUCUUCCGGCCUGAUGGUCAGUAGGGGACUAGCUCCUGAAACGUUAUAUGACUACUUCGUCGACACAGCACUUCUGAAACGUUCGAUGAUUACUUCGCUGACACUGCACCCCAUUGUGGACCUAAGGAGGUGGCUGGAACAUGUCUGACAUCUGCUUUCUGCUACUGGCAUCUCUGUAGCGGGAGGGGGUGAAAUGGAACACACCAUCAGAUCUGGGCUGCUAUGCAUUCCUCUUGUUCGUGCUGAGCCAUGUCCCAUGUUGAGCAGGCUACAACCAUCUUAUAUGAGCUUGCGUUCCUCUCUGAGCCUGACUUCUCUCAUCUACAAAACAAACUUUAUCUGGGGCUGGAGAGAUGGCUCAGUGGUUAAGAGCACCGACUGCUCUUCCAGAGUUCCUGGGUACAAAUCCCAGCAACCACAUGGUGGCUCACAACCAUCUGUAAUGGGAUCUGAUGCCCUCUUCUGGUGUCUCUGAAGACAGCUACAGUGUAUUUAUAAUAAAUCAAAACUCUUAAAAAAAAAAAAAAACAAACUUUAUCUAUUAAAAACAAUAACACUAAUCAACCCUCCACCCCCAAAAUCCUUACCAUGAACCCAUAACCUAAACAAACCUUUACCGUGUACCAGAACCUGUUCCUUUGCACUGCAUGGCCGUUCCCAACUAAGCCAGCGCUCUACUCCAUCUCACCGACUCCCUUGGAAAGACUUUAAUGGAUUCCCUUGCUUUGUUUGUCGCUAUCCACACAUAUCUCUGUCCAGUUCUCUGUUCCAGGGUACAAGGGUCCAGCUGUGUAUCCGUGACAUCAGAUUGCUUUGAGGAACAAGAGGGAGGCCUCAUGUGCAGGAGCUGGCUCCUGACAGGAGGCUCAGCUGACCGGCUUCCACUUUUGGAAGGCGGUGGGCGCAUUAUCAUUUCUGCGUAUUGAGUGCCUGGUGCAGAUAAGGUAUUUACUCAUUUGAAUAAAUGAAAUUUUUAUGAAAAGGAAA
Molecule: non-coding RNA, 3298 nt
Organism: Rattus norvegicus (Norway rat)
Lineage: Eukaryota; Metazoa; Chordata; Mammalia; Rodentia; Muridae
Source: RefSeq, a predicted model, not a curated record